RNAcentral lists this long non-coding RNA (2440 nucleotides) under Arachis ipaensis. RNAcentral describes it as "long non-coding RNA (AIPA_LNC001508)". Lineage: Eukaryota; Viridiplantae; Streptophyta; Magnoliopsida; Fabales; Fabaceae. The record is from RNAcentral.
GACAAAAAGAAACUAAAAGUAGGAAGAAGAAGAGGAAGGGGAAAACCACCAAAAACGACACCGUUUUUCGCAUGGUAAUUACUAAUUAAGGGUUCGUGAUGCCGAGGCAGAACCGAAACGUGGACAUGAUGAUGAUACCUGGUAAGAUCAGAAAACGAGGUUGCUCGUCAUCGGCUUCGUCAUCCUCCUCCGUGCUCCAUAACUACAGGUUCAAGAGGGCCAUACUCGUCGGCAAGAGAGGCGGAUCCACCACCCCCGUCCCAACCUGGAAGCUCUUGGCGUCGAGAUCUCCGGCGGCGUCGACUUUUCGUGCACUCGACUCCCCUAAGUACCCGCCGUCGCAGUCCGGCGGGGGAGGAGUGAAGGCGAAGCAAGCACCGGUGUCGGCGAGGAAGCUGGCGGCGACGCUGUGGGAGAUGAACGAGAUCCCUUCGCCGAGCGUGAGGGAAAUGCAGCAGGGAGAUUCGAAGCUGAAGAAAGAACUCAGAGCGAGAGAAAAGAUUGCGAGGUCCAUGCGUUCUGGUUCUUUGCCUCCUCACCUGUCUGAUCCAUCGCACAGUCCUGUAUCCGAGGUGAAUACUGAAUACUCUUUUGUUUAUUUAUUUAUUUAUUUGUUCUUGCUAUCUUGAACGUAAUUACAUGUGGAGCAUGUUCAGAAUAGCAUUAAAUGGCUACUAUCUAGUCAUUAUAUAUUUAAUUUAUUCUUACGAAGUUUGUGAUUUGCUUGUUUAUUUAUUUAUUUUUGGGUAGAGAAUGGAUCAAUCCGGAACUGGUAGCCGCCAUAGAAGAACUCCAUCUGUUCCUCAGAGGCCACCUAGGCUUUCAGAGCACCAUGUCGGCCCUUUGGAUUCCCUUAGUAAUGCCAGUCUCAUGGAGGUAUCUUUGUACCAAAUUAUGAUGUGGUUCUCUUGUCUUAAAUGUUUUUUACUCCCUAAAUCCUAGCAAUGACAUUGCAAUUGUGCAUUAAUUUGAUGCAUCCAGUUCAUUAAUAGUUCCAUCGGGUUGCUAAAUCUAAAUGAAUAAUACAAUUGCAUCACGACAUGUGAAUUGUGAUUAAGCUGAACUCAUGUUUAGUUUCUGUACUGGACUGCCCAAAUCACCAAAUUAAAUAUCGAAAUUAAGUCACAUUUUCAUUUCUUACUUUGGAUAUUGUUUUAAUUUUGUUUUAAUGUCUUGACAUUUAUCUCUCUGGGCUCUGCCGUGUAAUGACUGAUGCCUCGUCAAUUUAGGAGCAUAGUACACCCUUUUUUUCAGAGCAUAAUACAAUUUUACUGGUUACAAACUUACCAUAUUAAUAUUCUGGGCAGGUGCCAAUGAUUUUAUGCAGAUGGUACCUUGUUGAUGAGUGAUGAUGACCUACCUUCAACUCUAUUUUAUUACAUCUCCUAGUUUUACUGUGGAUUUUCUAAUAGACCAGUAAUAUCUCUUCAUGAUAUUUAUGUUUUAAAAAAUUAUAACAUGCCAGCGAACCCUCCUCUUCUCUAUUCAUAUCAGUACGGUGACAUGGUCAAACAAUGCUUUUAUUAAUAUUUUAAAAUAUAAAACAAAUUAAAAAAUUAAAUUAAUAACUAAAUAAUAACUAAAAAAAUAAAUUCAAAUAGUCAUUUAGUAUUUUUUUGAAAUAAAAAGUCCAUAAAAAAGUCUAGGCUACGCUCUAAUCAAUAAUCAUACUCUAUAUUCCUAAACCUCAACAGAAGAACCAGGUCACUAACUCCCUCACUAUGAAGGGUCAAAGUCAAAGUUGGCGUUGAGUUAAGGGCUGCCAACUGCCAAAAGCAGCAUACAUGUUGUCACCGUAAUAAUACCAUACCCUUUCUCCGCCAUCAACCCACAUCGGAUUCCGACGCGGUCACAUUCCACCAUUCAUAUCCCGGCACGUGUCACGAACACCAUACCCUUGGCCGCGUAGGAUCGCUCCCCACCCUUUCUCUCUCUCUCUCUAUUGCUGCGUUCAUCAAAUCUAGCGCACUAAGCUUAAGCUACUAUUACUCAGUAAGUACUAACCCACACAAAACAAAGAGAGUCAGACAAAAAGAAACUAAAAGUAGGAAGAAGAAGAGGAAGGGGAAAACCACCAAAAACGACACCGUUUUUCGCAUGGUAAUUACUAAUUAAGGGUUCGUGAUGCCGAGGCAGAACCGAAACGUGGACAUGAUGAUGAUACCUGGUAAGAUCAGAAAACGAGGUUGCUCGUCAUCGGCUUCGUCAUCCUCCUCCGUGCUCCAUAACUACAGGUUCAAGAGGGCCAUACUCGUCGGCAAGAGAGGCGGAUCCACCACCCCCGUCCCAACCUGGAAGCUCUUGGCGUCGAGAUCUCCGGCGGCGUCGACUUUUCGUGCACUCGACUCCCCUAAGUACCCGCCGUCGCAGUCCGGCGGGGGAGGAGUGAAGGCGAAGCAAGCACCGGUGUCGGCGAGGAAGCUGGCGGCGACGCUGUGGG